Drosophila teissieri is the source of this 646-nucleotide RNA transcript. It is a transcript of the gene named DNA-directed RNA polymerases I, II, and III subunit RPABC4-like, with no coding region annotated. The record is from RefSeq and is a predicted model, not a curated record. NCBI's taxonomy places the organism in Eukaryota, Metazoa, Arthropoda, Insecta, Diptera, Drosophilidae. The transcript has 5 exons.
UACCUGACAACGGUCACUCUAAAAGACUUUUCGGCAAAACAAAACACAUUUUUACAGAAAACACGCCGUAAUUUAAAUAAUAUUUAUUAGAAAUGUCGGAAACUAGCUCCAAGGAUAAUGUCAAAACGGCAAUGACCUAUAUUUGCGGAGAAUGUCAUCAUGAAAAUGAAAUGCGUCCCAGGGAUCCGAUUCGUUGUCGCGAAUGUGGAUAUCGUAUCAUGUACAAAAAACGCACCAAGCGUCUUGUUGUCUUUGAUGCUCGUUAAAAAAUCCUAAAAACUUAUAGACACCCGUCUAAACAAUACUUUUAAGCAGUUAGUUCGUAAAAAAAAGCUUGUGCUUCAAUAAAUCAAUGUCAUCCCCAAGAACUACAGCGUUUUAUCAUUAAAUAAUUAAUCUAUUGAGUACAUCUAAAAGGACUUUAAAAGAAUGUCAUCAUGAAAAUGAAAUGCGUCCCAGGGAUCCGAUUCGUUGUCGCGAAUGUGGAUAUCGUAUCAUGUACAAAAAACGCACCAAGCGUCUUGUUGUCUUUGAUGCUCGUUAAAAAAUCCUAAAAACUUAUAGACACCCGUCUAAACAAUACUUUUAAGCAGUUAGUUCGUAAAAAAAAGCUUGUGCUUCAAUAAAUCAAUGUCAUCCCCAAGAA